UACGUAGGUUGCAAGCGUUACUCGGAAUUACUAGGCGUAAAGGGCUCGUAGGUGGCCAACUAAGUCAGACGUGAAAUCCCUCGGCUUAACCGGGGAACUGCGUCUGAUACUGGAUGGCUUGAGUUUGGGAGAGGGAUGCGGAAUUCCAGGUGUAGCGGUGAAAUGCGUAGAUAUCUGGAGGAACACCGGUGGCGAAGGCGGCAUCCUGGACCAACACUGACACUGAGGAGCGAAAGCCAGGGGAGCAAACGGG
Molecule: ribosomal RNA, 253 nt
Filed under: uncultured bacterium
Lineage: Bacteria
Description: partial 16S ribosomal RNA
Rfam family: Bacterial small subunit ribosomal RNA
Source: RNAcentral